This 293-nucleotide ribosomal RNA is filed under the name uncultured bacterium. RNAcentral's name for it is "partial 16S ribosomal RNA". It matches the Rfam family "Bacterial small subunit ribosomal RNA", at positions 399 to 691 of the family's 1533-position model. The record is from RNAcentral.
GCGUGGAGGAUGAAAGCCGUAAGGUUGUAAACUCCUUUUAUUGGGGACGAAAAAGAAGGUAGCCCCUUCAUUGACUGUACCCAUUGAAUAAGCCCCGGCUAACUACGUGCCAGCAGCCGCGGUAAUACGUAGGGGGCAAGCGUUGUCCGGAUUUACUGGGUGUAAAGGGCGCGUAGGCGGGUCUGUUAGUCAGAGGUGAAAUCCUGCGGCUUAACCGUAGAACUGCCUUUGAUACUGCAGAUCUUGAGUAUGGAAGAGAGUGACGGAAUUCCAGGUGUAGUGGUGAAAUACGU